This is an RNA transcript of Lolium rigidum, 1817 nucleotides long. RefSeq lists it as uncharacterized. The transcript has 7 exons. NCBI's taxonomy places the organism in Eukaryota, Viridiplantae, Streptophyta, Magnoliopsida, Poales, Poaceae. The record is from RefSeq and is a predicted model, not a curated record.
GCUCGAGCCCGAGACUCCCGCAGCUACCACUGCAAAUCGCGCAUCCGGCAGCGCGCCGCGUGGCGUCAUCCUUGGGCGAACGCUAGCACUCGGGCAGUUCGCAUGCCGACGAAGAGGCCGCCUGGAGCGAGCCCAAUGAGGGCUCUGGGUUCCUAUCAAUGUCUUCAUCGUUCCCAGAUAUUUGAUUGCUGAACUGAACGUAGCAGCAUGAGCAAAUGGGAGAGGGAGCAGUUCAUGUUCGGCGCUACUGUGAGAGGACAAGAAAAAUCUUUUAUGGGACAAUUGCAAUCUGUGGAGAGAAGUGCACCAUUAACCAUCAGCUUUAACCUACACUGUUCUAGGAAGAACGGUGGCUGCUGUUGAGGAGGCAACGCAGAGGAGGUGGAGUAGGCCGGCCCCUUCUCCUCAAUCGAGGAUGCGAUGGUGCCCUCCCGGGAUCAGCAGAAUGUGUGAUGCACCCCAGUCCCCAGCCCCGCGCGCCCAAACCUCUCGGGAUCAGCAGGGAUAGAGGCAACAACCAGAACGCCACAACCUCGAUCUUCGCGAUGGUGGCAGCGACGACCAACGAUCCAUCUUGGCACAGCGAUUGUCGACUCACCUCGGCUUAUCAAGGAAGAAGCUACAUGCCGGUUUCUAGCUCUAUUGUUUCUGAAAGUCAGGCUGCAAGAUGCGAAGUCAUGUGAGUGAUGCAAGAGAUACUGGACCCAUUUGAAUGGAAAGGUCAAUUGUUUUGUCACGUAGCUGGACAGAAAGUCUAGGCAUAGCAUGGUCAUACCAGAGAGCUUUUUGAACUAUUUUGUAUGGAAGUUGUCAAGAACCAUCAAACUAGAAGCCCAUGAUGAUAAUGUAUACGAUGUCGGAAUCACUGAGCUUAGAAACAAAACAAUACUCAGAUCUGGAUGGGAGGCAUUUGUCGAUGCCCAAUCAUAUAGCAGAGAAAGACUCGUUGAUGUUCCGAUACUGUGGAAGUGCUCGCUUCAAGGUCUUGUUCUUUGAUUCCAGUGGUUGUGAGAAAGUGGUGUUCUGUGCUCGCAUACAGAGCAAUAGUGGUGAGCAAGAACCAAGCACAUAUUCUUAGGACGUGGAGGAUCAGAUGGAUGCCAGAGUGGAAGCUCUAUCUAUUGAAGAAAACGAGCAAAGAAAGAUGCACUUUCUCCAUCCAGGAGAAGACAGUCCUCAUGAGCGUGACUCUGAUGAGUCGGAUGAACACACAAUCCAUUAGCUUUUUCUCAAAAUAGGAGUGUAUAGCCUAAUUAUCUUAAAAAAUACCCCAUCAUUAGCUUUCUUCUCAAGAUACAUUUGUUCUAAUAGAUAAUUGAAUAUUGUUGUUUGUGCAUGUUCCAUGAAAAUAAGCGAACGUAAAAUUUUCGAACCUAUUAUCUGAAGUACUUGCUCACCUAGACCAUCCGUAAUUUGAUAAUAAACAUUAUCUGGUUUCAUGCUCCAUGAUGCAUUUCAUACUAGAAAGCCUAUUUCACUUUGCCUGUAGCUUGCUUCACAUACUUGAUGUAAGAUAUCAUAGCAGAGUGCAUCUUACAUUUUGAUGUCUUAAAAGGCGUAUCAUCGCAAUGGUAAACUUUGUUGCAUCAUACUAGAAGAAUGACACCAUCGAGUUUCAAAAGAUCUUAAAGGUCAGUGUUCUUUAACAUAUGUUUUUCGCUUGACUGCAGCAAUCCUAAACCCUUCAUUUAUUUGUUCACUGAUUCUUCUAGAAUUGUUGCAACCAUUCUUAUUAAAUCUUACAAACAGAGGUGUUAACUAUCACACAACAUGUUUGGCGCAUGCCAUAAACUUAUGUGGUACCGGGGAAUGCUUCU